Molecule: microRNA precursor, 126 nt
Filed under: Myotis lucifugus (little brown bat)
Lineage: Eukaryota; Metazoa; Chordata; Mammalia; Chiroptera; Vespertilionidae
Description: mir-9193 microRNA precursor family
Rfam family: mir-9193 microRNA precursor family
Source: Rfam by way of RNAcentral
CAUGCAUCAGUGGGGUCCCUUGGCCUGGCCUGCACCCUCUCGCAAUUCGGGACCACUUGGGGGAUGUUGGAGAGCCGGUUUUGGCCUGAUCCUGCAGGCCAGGCUGAGGGACCCCACUGGUGCAUG